GCAGCCGCGGUAAUACGGAGGAUCCAAGCGUUAUCCGGAUUUAUUGGGUUUAAAGGGUGCGUAGGCGGUUUGAUAAGUUAGAGGUGAAAUCUCGGGGCUCAACUCCGGAACUGCCUCUAAUACUGUUGAACUAGAGAGUAGUUGCGGUAGGCGGAAUGUAUGGUGUAGCGGUGAAAUGCGUAGAGAUCAUACAGAACACCGAUUGCGAAGGCAGCUUACCAAACUAUAUCUGACGUUGAGGCACGAAAGCGUGGGUAGCAAACAGGAUUAGAUACCCC
RNAcentral lists this ribosomal RNA (278 nucleotides) under uncultured Turicibacter sp. RNAcentral's name for it is "partial 16S ribosomal RNA". It matches the Rfam family "Bacterial small subunit ribosomal RNA", at positions 511 to 788 of the family's 1533-position model. Lineage: Bacteria; Bacillati; Bacillota; Erysipelotrichia; Erysipelotrichales; Turicibacteraceae. The record is from RNAcentral.